Molecule: ribosomal RNA, 1272 nt
Filed under: bacterium
Lineage: Bacteria
Description: bacterial SSU rRNA
Rfam family: Bacterial small subunit ribosomal RNA
Source: RNAcentral
ACGUGAGUAACCUGCCCUUGACUCUGGGAUAAGCCUGGGAAACUGGGUCUAAUACCGGAUAUGACCUUCCAUCGCAUGGUGGUUGGUGGAAAGCUUUUGUGGUUUUGGAUGGACUCGCGGCCUAUCAGCUUGUUGGUGGGGUAAUGGCCUACCAAGGCGACGACGGGUAGCCGGCCUGAGAGGGUGACCGGCCACACUGGGACUGAGACACGGCCCAGACUCCUACGGGAGGCAGCAGUGGGGAAUAUUGCACAAUGGGCGCAAGCCUGAUGCAGCGACGCCGCGUGAGGGAUGACGGCCUUCGGGUUGUAAACCUCUUUCAGUAGGGAAGAAGCGUAAGUGACGGUACCUGCAGAAGAAGCGCCGGCUAACUACGUGCCAGCAGCCGCGGUAAUACGUAGGGCGCAAGCGUUAUCCGGAAUUAUUGGGCGUAAAGAGCUCGUAGGCGGUUUGUCGCGUCUGCCGUGAAAGUCCGGGGCUCAACUCCGGAUCUGCGGUGGGUACGGGCAGACUAGAGUGAUGUAGGGGAGACUGGAAUUCCUGGUGUAGCGGUGAAAUGCGCAGAUAUCAGGAGGAACACCGAUGGCGAAGGCAGGUCUCUGGGCAUUAACUGACGCUGAGGAGCGAAAGCAUGGGGAGCGAACAGGAUUAGAUACCCUGGUAGUCCAUGCCGUAAACGUUGGGCACUAGGUGUGGGGGACAUUCCACGUUUUCCGCGCCGUAGCUAACGCAUUAAGUGCCCCGCCUGGGGAGUACGGCCGCAAGGCUAAAACUCAAAGGAAUUGACGGGGGCCCGCACAAGCGGCGGAGCAUGCGGAUUAAUUCGAUGCAACGCGAAGAACCUUACCAAGGCUUGACAUGAACCGGAAAGACCUGGAAACAGGUUCCCCACUUGUGGUCGGUUUACAGGUGGUGCAUGGUUGUCGUCAGCUCGUGUCGUGAGAUGUUGGGUUAAGUCCCGCAACGAGCGCAACCCUCGUUCUAUGUUGCCAGCACGUGAUGGUGGGGACUCAUAGGAGACUGCCGGGGUCAACUCGGAGGAAGGUGGGGACGACGUCAAAUCAUCAUGCCCCUUAUGUCUUGGGCUUCACGCAUGCUACAAUGGCCGGUACAAAGGGUUGCGAUACUGUGAGGUGGAGCUAAUCCCAAAAAGCCGGUCUCAGUUCGGAUUGGGGUCUGCAACUCGACCCCAUGAAGUCGGAGUCGCUAGUAAUCGCAGAUCAGCAACGCUGCGGUGAAUACGUUCCCGGGCCUUGUACACACCGCCCGUCA